Molecule: long non-coding RNA, 8115 nt
Organism: Chelonia mydas (Green sea turtle)
Lineage: Eukaryota; Metazoa; Chordata; Testudines; Cheloniidae
Exons: 3
Source: RefSeq, a predicted model, not a curated record
CCAGUGUUUUUUUUGUUUGUUUGUUUUUUGCAUUACCCUGCCAGGGUCCCAGGGAGUACAAUACCACAAAGCAGGCAUGAUAGAAACCAGCACAGACAUGGAAAAAGAGCCAUCAGGUCCCACCUCGUCCAUGUCAAUCCAAGAUUGCUCCCUUAGGGUUUGUGCAGCCUGAUUUUAGAUUUCCUGAGCAGCUCCCACCCAUUCCCGUGCCUAUGAAGCCCUGGCCUGGUGCAUCUCACUGUUAGGACGUUUUCUCUCAGUCUCACAGUAUUGCCAAUGCCAAGCAUUCAAAACCCAUGAGCCGGGCUCCCCCAGAAUCAUGAAAUUAAAAAAAAAAAAGAAUGUUGGGUUCUUUUCCUUUGCCUUCUGUUUUCUGAGCCUUUGAGCUGCACUGGGGUGCUGUUUUCAAGCUCUUCUCUGCUGUGGUGAGGGCUAGAAACUUAUCUUUUCCCCUUUUAACAAAAGCUGAGAUUCUCAACUGACUCCAGGAGCUGGGGCUUUAACCAAACUACCAAAUAUUCUGAGACUCGCUAUAAAAGCAUUAGAGUUGGCAGCAUUGUGUUGGGGUCUAGUCCUGUCCAGAGCAGGUACAGAAUGAAGGCAUCAGGAGCCAGUGCAGGUUAGGGAAGCCCCAGCUGAAGGUAGCCUCAAUAGACCAUUCCUGCUUGGCUUAGAGGUUUCCCCUGGAGUGCCUCUUAUGAGAGGAAUGUAAAAAGUCCACAGUCUGCGUAAAUCCACCUCGCAUGGUGGGCUGAGCAGAGGCAUUGUGAUUUGGGCCUGCAGGGCAAUGCUGAGUCAUGGCCACGUAGCCUGCUCUUUAGGAACCUAAAUACCUUUGAGAAGGGCCAGAUUUAGGGGCAGGCCACCCAGGUGACCGCUUGGGGUGCCAGGCUUGGAGGGGGGGCGGGCGCUGGGCUCGGUGGGCUGUUUUUUUUUUUCUGUUAGCGACAAUAGGGAAAAGAGAACAUUUGAAGUGACAUGUUUCAGGUAUUCCGUAUGUGGGGUCAUUUUUCAUGAACCUCCUAGAAUGUUCUGGACCUUUUCGGAAUCUCGUGGAACCUUCCAGACUUUCUGAGAACUACAUUUUCCUCAAAGCUCCUAGAAAGUUGUCAGUUAAGCCCUCGUGGGUAGAUAAGGGGUGGGGCAUCACCAGUCCAUCAGUGAGAUAAAAACACAGAUUUACAGAUCCUAGUGUGCAAAUUUACCAUCUUAUGCGACAGGGAUAAAUCAUGCAUGCAAAUUGUGCAUCGAAGUCGAGAAAUGGGCCACAAAUGCAAUAAAAAAUCAGGUAUUCAAACGGGUGCAGGAACAGGUUUUAUAGUGGGGGGGCUGAGAGCCAUUGAAACAAACUGUAAACCCUGCAUGUGAUGGAAACCACUUCAAGCCAGGGGGCGCAGCAGCACCCCUAGUUCCAGCACCUCUGUAAAAGUCUAACAAAUGGAGCGGCGGCUAGCCUUUGCUCUAGCCUUUGAAGAUUUGGUCUGUCGUGUUUACACCCAUUUGCACAUGACUCUACAGGGUGCAAAACAGAGCAGAAUUGGGCCCAUUAAUUUCCUCCUUAUUGUUAAUGAAUGGACCUACAUUCUCUCCAGUGUGACGCCCGCCCCCCCGGAUAAGUUUGUAAGAGGCCUUGUUAUUCCUCUUUACCCCUCAAGUUAACAUUCGCUCAUCCUGCCAUGUUUGGGUGCCCUUAUCUUUCUCUCCCUGCAUCUCUUAGUGGAUUUUGUGGUGGCUUUCAACUUCCUUAUUAUUUAGAUGCUGCACGUAAGAGCUUGAGGGCCCCAUUGUGCUGGGCCCGGCACAAACACAGAGUGCGAGACAGCCCCUGCCCUGAAGAGCUUACAAACCAAACAGGCCCAUAAAGGGGGAGAGAUGGGAAGUACUAUUAUCCCCGUUUUACAAACGGGAAACGGAGUUACAGAGCGAUCGCAUGCCUGUGUGUGACAGCUGCCAUCGGGGCCAACGUGCCAGAGACGGGCAAGUGUGAGUCUUCCCAGCCUGUGCUGCCGAGCCAGGCCCUGGAGCUGGGAGCUAUAAGCGGCUCCCAUCCUCCGUGGCACAGGAGGGGGGACAGAUGACACAUGGUAACCCAGGGGUUACACAAGGUGUGACAGAGCCAGGAUUCAGAUCUCCCGAGUCCCAGUCUAGGGCCUUCACCGUGAGACCAUCCCCAGGACUGGCUCUGAGGUUAAAGAUGGAAGGAAGUCCUAUUCACUGACUCCUGCACCUUCUUUGGGUGCGCUCCUUGAUGAUCGCAGCACAGACCAGUUCAGGCCUAAUGCAGUGCCUUCUGCAAAGGCCCAGCUCAGAGUGGCCUGGGGCAGUUUUCCUUGGCUCUGUGUCUUAUGCUAUUGUACCAUGAAUUUUGUGCAUCUGGGGGCAAGGGAAUCCUGUGACACAGAAAUUUUGCUCAGACCUUCGCCUCUUUUUCCCAAGAACAUGUCUCUUUGUUGCAGUGUUCCCUUUAGGCACCCGUUACGCUCUCUUCCCUGUACAUCCCUGCGCUUUGGAGACGGAAGCCAGCGUUCCCCGUCUUACGAACUCCCAGCUGGCUCAUGUUACACAUCUGCAUUCAGUCUCGUUUGGAGGCGUUAGCCCAGCGUGGGCAUCCCGCCGAGUUUCCAGGUGUGAAAAAACACAGGAGUUGCAGUUUUUCAGCCGUGAUUCAGCUGCGUUUUUAAAGAAAACAACUCCCCUCGCCUGCAGCAGGAAAUCACUGUUUGGAUUUAUGAGGCACCUUUUCCUGACCAUCCUCUCUGGAAAAGCCUUUGCUAGAUCGACAUGGCUGCUCCCUUCCUGACUCCUGCUGGGAGAAUCUGGACAACUGGAGCUUGGAGAAUAAGGUGUAGGCCAGUGGUUCUCAACCAGGGGCACGCGUACAGCUGAGGCUACACAGAGCUCUUGAAGGGGGGAGAUCAACUCAUCCAGAGAUUUGCCUAGUUUUACAACAGGCUGCAGAAAAAGCCCUGGCGAAAUCGGUACAAACUAACAUUUCAGACAAUGCCUUAUUUAUCCUGCUCUGUAUACUAUACACUGCAAUGUAAGUACAAUAUUUAUAUUCCAGUCGAUUUAUUUUAUAAUUUAUAGGGUAAGAAUGAGAACAUCAGCAAUUUCUCAGUAAUAUUGUGCUGUGACCCUUUUUGUAUUUUUAUGGCUGGUUUUGUAAGCAAGUAGUUUUGAAGUGAGGUGAAACUUGGGGGCACGCAAGACCAAGCAGACUCCUGAAAGUCGUUUGGAAAGGUUGAGAGCCCCUAGUCUAGUCUACUCUAGAAAAGGUUUGCCCAGUGUUACUACACUAGCAUCAGCAAAGUAGGGUAAGCCAUCUCCUAGGGCAGAUGCAGGGUAUACCGUCAAAAACGUGUUUUUGCUGGUAUUGCUUGUAUCAGUUCGCUGAACGAAAGAAGCACUGAAAUUUGCUGGUAUAACUGGGCGUUUGCUACUGUUUUUGCCGGUAUAAAAAUUUCAUUACAAAGAAAAGUUACACUCUUACAUCACAUUGCUACACUGGCAAAAGUUUCUAGAGUAGACCUGGCCUCAGCACCGUUACUUGUUCUGUGUUUGUACAGCACCUAACACAAUGGAGUCCUGGUCCAUGACUGGGCUCAUAGGUGUUCCUGCAAUACACAUAAUGAAUAAUAAUAUUCCACUCCCUACAGCUAUUCUUGCUGGGGUAGGCAAGACAUGGGGAGCUGUGAGCCUGCUUCCAGACAACUCACCAUUGUCAUCCCCUCCCGCAUGCAUGGGAUAGGCUGGGUUGCAGGAAUAGCUUGUGAGUUUCACCCAGAAUAAUCCACUUAGGCCAUUCCCUGCAGUGACUCCUGCUGGCAGAUGGUGGAACAGGCCUAGACCACACACACAGCCACUACACAAAACCUAGGCCAAGCGUCAACUCAUUUGGUAGCAAUUGCUUCUCCCAAUUGUUUUACUAACCUCUCCAAUGCUGGAAAAAAUUCAUCUGAACUCCUGUUCCAAGGGCAACCAAAAGCACAGAUCUCAUUCCAACGACAACCUCUUUUUAGUGAGAGACAAUACACAGGACAAAAUCUCGGGAGUGAGAUGUCAGUGACACACCUGUAUACGUGAACUGCGUUUGCACUGGUGUAGCUGAGAUCAGGAUCAGGCCCUGGAUCUUUUGAGAAGGGCGCCUAAGCAUCCAAUCCAGAUCAGAAAGCCGAGCCAGGAGGGACGACACCAGCACUGUGUUGAUCUAUUGUCUCAUCAGGCCUGGCACGUCUGUAUGAAUGCAGGGCCUGCAUGUUCACGUAGGCCUACAGUUGGCCUUCAGUCAAGGCUUAGUUACUGGGGGUGGGAAGAAGAAUGGUGUUAAAUGAAGUCAACAUCCAGGGAAUGGUUACAGCUCUCUCGGAGGUGUGAGCAGACCUCACCUGGCUUUUCAGCGAUGAGUACCUACAAAGUGGGGAACCCCUACUAGUACGACACUCUACCGAGGCCAACUUACGUAUCAGCAAACUGCAGCUGAGCAAGGCUGAAGAAGAAAGACUUGCCCAGAUCCCACUAAGCUGGUAGGCACCUCCUUAGAGCAAUCCAUGCCACAGAUGAUCUCCUCAGCUGGUGUGGCUCGGUCGACUUCAAUGGAACUAUGCUGAGUUCCACCAGUUGUGGAUCUGGGCCUAGUUUUUUCAAAGCAGUUAGAUUGCCAUCUCCGUCUGUCUUUUGCCGUUAUUGAAUGGAGUCUUUUUUUGGUUGGUUUGUUACAUUUCAGAACCAUGAUCAAAUGAUUUGGAGACGAAAGGUGGAACAAGGUUUCUAUAAUUCUCAUUGAUUAAGGACACUUUGGAGAGGAAGCUGGAGCUGUAUAAACCAGCAAUGGACAGACUGGGAUGGGGGGGACACAAGCUUAGGUCAGAAGGGGAUCUAUAGAGAACAGAAGGAGAUUUAAGGGGCUAGCCUAUGUCUACUGUAGUGAAUGGGAAGUUCUCUCCCUUAGCAUCACUGGAUCAAUCACCAGAGAGCAAUGUACAAGGGGAAUGGGCUUGCUGGUGGUGGAAGACUAACUGAGGACUCAAGGUAGUACUGCUCUUCUUUGUCUGCCCUGAUCUCUCUGGGCUCUUCCAAGGCUCAAGCAAACACCUGUGGGGAUUGUGCUGCUCCCUGGCAAUGCUGGAGCAAAUGUGAGCUCUCCUGUGUGACACAGCACCUUGGGACCCAGUGCUCAACACUUCUGGGCUGGUAGAUCUUGAUCAGAUCCCAGUCAGAAGCUCAGAUCUGUGAGGAGCAUCGUAUAAAAAACCGCACAGAAUAGAAUAUUCUGAGCUGCCUUCCGCGUGGUCUUUGGUCCCUUUACUCACCAUACGCAGUGGAGGGUAAACUCAAACUGUGAUGUAUUUUCCUUCUCCAACUUGGUAGCAAUGCAGAACCUGGAGAUAUAUGGUCUAUGCUCAGGCCCCGGCAUACACAGGCUGGCUGAAGAAGUCAGGUGGAUUGUAGUUUGGCACAGAAAUCAGCUGGAGUUUGCCAGUUCUACGCGCUUCAAAUGUAGUAGAGUUCAGACAGCUUCUGACCCCACGAGAUAAUUUUCUCAGUAUUCUUUAGAGGCCAACACAACGCCAAGCUGACUGAGACCCCACCCCCACGCGAAACAAUGGCGAGCCAAAGGGCUGCUGCAUAUGGAGCGUGAUCGAGAGUCUAAGCAGUCUCGGGAGGAUUGUUACAUAAAACAACGAGCAUCAUAAGACAGCUUAAUUCAGCUACAUCAGCAGGUGAGAGGCCGUUCCAGCUCGGACCAGUUUUCAAAUAACUCCCCCAGCAGGAUAUUAAGUGGUAGCAUACUCUGCCAAUCAAACACGAAAGAGAAGCAUGACGUCAUAAGAACCAGCCGCCAUCGGCCAAUGAGCGAUCCUGAAGGCAGGACGCUCACCUAGCAAUGACCGAGAGAGGAUGAACGUUUUCAAGAGUGUUGCAUACGCUGCAAGGCUCUCCCCACCACUCACACACAGCCGCCUCUAGGCACACUGGUAACUGAAUGCUUUAGCCCCCUUGUGGCAGGGAGCUUCACUCACUGCUAGGCUGGCGCCUCCUCCUGGUCGCUCCAGGGAUUAGCUCAUGAGGUCAACACCUCUUCCCGCGGUCGCACGCCGUCACUCCGUCUCUCUCUGGUCUGCAGCCCUACUCUCACUCCAGGAACCGCAGCGUCCUCUCCGUGACUCGGCCCUCUGGCCAGAUCGCUCAGCAUCCCCCCUUCAGGGGCACAGUCCUUCCAAGUGUGUGGCACUUCCACAGAGACCCAGGAAGUCUUCCAGUUCACUGCCCCGCUGGUGCCGCUUCCCCAGUGGUGGGUCGGGGAACCCAGGCCUGCCCUCUACUCCAGGUUCCAGCCCAGGGACCCUACAACAUGCAGCCAAGGUCUGUUCAGUCCCCAACCUUGCUGCUUAUUCCCUGGACUACUUCCUACCCCAGCGCUCCUGGGGUUCUCUGUUCCCUUCUCCCAGGGAGUGACCAUGGGCUACAGCCCCCAAACACACCUCCCUUCUCCCAGGGCGUGACUGCAGACACCUCCCUGCAGCCCCCUGCCUGCUCUCAGCUCCCUGGCUUUAUAGAAGUCCCAUCUGUUCCCGCACAGGUGAGCUUCCCCUAAUUAGGGCUUUCCUCUCGGCCUUCAGUCUAAUAGGUUAAUUGGCUCCUCUGGCCUCCAUUAACCCCUUCAGGGCACAUCUGUAGGGGGUACACAUCCCGCUAACGAUCGGAGGUCAGAUUUUUAACCGGCAGUGCUCUUUGUUCAGCAUGGUGCUGUGUCCCUAGAGGUACCAAAUCGACAGGCCUAAAGGGAACCAAUGCACAUCUGUGGUCCAGUAAAUGUCACACAGAAGAUGCUGCAGAAGAAGGUGGCAUUUCUACCCUCACUCCCAGUGGUAGCUCUGCUUUAGAGUGUGAUCCAAACUUUGGCACUCUCUUCUCUUUGCAGGUUUUUUUUUUUUUUUAAAUCUGAUGAAGCCAGCUAUUGUCUGCAGCCAGGGACCUCAGAGAGUGAGAAGGUGAAGCUGCCGAGACCACAGUCAUCAAGCUGUUUGUUUUCUGGGGGAAAACGACCCAGCGAACCGGCUGACAGACCUGAAAUGUUAAUUUCUUCCAGCUGUUGUCAGUCUGGCAGGCUCUCAAAGGAAGUUUAAUAGACUACAGGCUUCCCUGCUUGCCCCCAUCCUUCCACUGGCUCUGCUUAGCAGAGGCAGCCUCCCAGAACCUAGAUGAUUAAACAAACGUCCUUGCCUUCCAAUGAUUUGUUUUCUCUUUGGCUUGAAAGAUUUUUGUGCCUUGUGUUUGUUUAUUUCCCCAUCCCCCGGCCAUUUAAAAUCCCCAUUAAUUAAAGGGGAGGAGGCCAAUUAGGCAGGGUCAGGACGGCAAAUAAGGAGCAAGUGGGACCCGACUAAGGGCAGCACGUGUAAGUGAGAAGAAAGGCAAUGGGUUCGUGAACCAUCUCUGAGACUGAGCCACUUCCGUGUGUGGCCAGACAGGAAACAGGAUCAAAAAGGUCUUUGUAGUUGAAAAAGAAAAAUCCUUUCACUAGCAUUUGAGUGGUUUUGAUUCAAGACGCAAGUAGGGCACGCUGUUGAAAGCAAGGAACUUCUAGGCUUGAUCAGACGUGGGACCUCUCUAGUCCCGUAUCCUAUCUCUGACCAGCGUCUGUGUCCAAGGAAGUGAUAGGAUAACAUAACCUACUGGGGUAAAAACAACGAGGGGUCCUUGUGGCACCUUAGAGAUUAACAAAUUUAUUUGGGCAUAAGCUUACGUGGGCUAAAACCCACUUCAUCAGAUGCAUUGAGUGGAAAUACAGUAGGCAGGUAUAAAUAUACAGCACAUGAAAAGAUGGGGUCGUUUCUUUCCAGCCAGUUAGAGGUUGGCUGAUGCCCUGGAGGAGAUGGGCUUGUUAUUAGAGCAGGUCAAAAAAUCUUCAUCUAAAACAGUUUGUUAUUGGAAAGUUUCCUUCUGACUAAAGUGAAUUUUUUGUGAAAUUGUAUUGAUUGUUUAAGGAGAAAAAAUGAAAAAAACCCUGAGUUUAAAAAUGUCAAAAUGGGAUAUAUGGACAUGUCCAGAAUGAAGAGUUUUGAUUUUUUUAAAUUUUGGACUGACUUUAUUUCUCUAAUAUAAAAUAAGUUUUGA